Dermacentor andersoni is the source of this 5066-nucleotide non-coding RNA. The record is from RefSeq and is a predicted model, not a curated record. NCBI's taxonomy places the organism in Eukaryota, Metazoa, Arthropoda, Arachnida, Ixodida, Ixodidae.
AAACCAAACGAAUAAAUAGAAAUAACCCAUGGAUAACACGUGAUGUCAUUCAUGCGAAGCGCAAAGUGAAGCGACUAAGGAAAUUGCUCAAAACAAAAAAAAAUCCUCAACAUAAACGUAAACUCACGUGUGCCAUCAAUGAAAUGAAAGCAAAGAUUAGUACAGCGAAAGCACAUUACUUUUCAGUUACGCUUCCUAACUUUUUAAAACAUUCCCCUGGAAAAUUAUGGAAGUAUCUUAGCCCCAAAAAACAAAGCAACACUCUCAAUUCUCAGGAACAAAAUUUAAAUUUUGCCAAUUCCUUAAAUACCAACUUCCAGUCUGUGUUCACUGCUUACGAUGGUCGCAUUCCGGAGGUGAAUCGCUACAAUCAGAGACUGCCAGACAUGCCAACGAUAACUGAUUCAGGAGUGCUCAACUUAUUACUAUCAAUAGACACAGAAAAAGGAAACAGCCCGGACAACAUUCCCAAGACUUUUCUUCAAAGAUAUGCCGAACUCAACGCGACAUAUCUACAUAUAAUAUUUAACAAAUCCUUAUCAACAUGUAGCCUUGCAAAAGAAUGGAAAAUAGCGAAAGUAAUCGCCGUUCAUAAAGCAGGAAGCACAAGUGCUGUCGGUAAUUAGAGACCAAUAUCGCUAACGUCCUUAGUAGGAAAAUCAUUACAGCAUAACAUACUAAAGCAUAUCACGAACUAUCUAGAGCAAGCACAAAUAUUAUCGGAUAUCCAACAUGGUUUCCGGCGGAGACUUUCAACCAUAACCUAAUUACUUGAAUUAACGCAUGACUUAUCCCAAAGCAUUGAUAAUAAAAAACAAGUUGACUUAAUAGCAUUAGAUUUUCCGAAGGCCUUUGAUAGAGUAACCCGUCAAAAACUUUAGGCAACGGUUCUAUUGUCAAUUGGAUGGAAGAUUACUUAACCAACCGGUUUCAGUAUGUUGUUAACAAUUAAAUUUCUUCCAUUGCAACAGUUACAUCGGGGGUGACCCAAGGGUGCGUUCUUGCUCCCACUUUAUUCCUUAUUUUUAUUAAUGAUUUGCCCUCUAACAUCGAAAUUAAUAUUAAACUUUCUGCCGACGACUGCAUUCUUCAUAAUGAAAUUAAUUCUAUGAAUGAUCUCCUUGAUAUAAACAGUGCCCUUCAUGAUGUGAUGUGGUGUAAAAAGUGGCAGAUGGAACUGAACUUUAAAAAAAAAGUGCAUUUUUAUCUAUAACCCACAAAAUACAUAGGUCGGAGUUCGAAUAGACUAUCGAUAGCAUACAACUCACCCGAGUUCAUGAGCAUAAAUGUCUUGGCUUGAUCAUUUCACAUGACCUAAGAUGGGAAUCGCAUGUUAACAGUAUAACACUAUCUGCUUUAAAACGGCUGUUCUUCCUCAGAAGAAGACUUCGAGCUGCGCCACCGGAAAUUAAACUGCUAUCAUACAACGGAUUUAUUCGCCCAGUUCUCGAAUAUGGUAACACAAUUUGGUUUCCUUAUACACAAGAGCUUAUUAACAAACUGGAAGGAGUGCAGCCAAAGGCAAUUAGAUUCAUCUUUAAGAAAUACAAGAAUAGUGGUUCACCUACCCAACUGCUAAAACAAGCUUGUAUUCCUACUCUGCGAAAACGCGCCAAACUAGCAAGACUAAAAUUAUUGUUCCAAUUAACACACUAUGCAUUACGAAUAAAUAUUUCUUUGUAUAUACCCCUAGAUGACACCAGACCUUCCUGCCAUAAGCAUUCUCUCACUUAAAGAAUACGCAUUUCGCCUUACUGUUUUAGAUAUUCGUUGUUUCCUCUUGCAAUAAGAGAAUGGAAUAGUCUGGAUCCCUCCAUAACGACUAACACAUCGUUGCCGAAAUUUGUAACCGAUGUAGAAGAACUGUUGCGCAAUAAUUAGGUUAUGCUAGCCGGAAAUAACACGCCACUCACGUCGUUGUAUAAUAUAAAAUCUGUAUAAGCACUGUAUUUGCCUAUGCAAUUUCAUCCCUUUUGCCAAAUGCACUGUAUCAUUCUUGUUUUAUUUCCUGCCAUAUGUGUAUAUCUGCUUCGUGUCCUUUGCAAAUAUCCUUGUUGAGAUUAUGUAAACCUGUUUUUAUCGCUAUUUGUGCGUAUAUAAUAAAUGCCCAACCUGUAAAAAUCCCACUGGGAUUGACAGUGUCUGCAAUAAAUAAAACAAAUUAAUAAAAAAAGCGAUACAGAGGGGGUGCUUACACCCUUUCUGCCUUAUUUCUUUAUGUGGAACUCUUUCAAUCUGACGCGCGUCGUCGUGUCGGCACUCUUACCGAUAAUCUUUGUCUCUCCCAAUCGAGCCUCUCAACCUCUACAUUUAAUUACGUGCGCGAAGAAAUGUGCGUACUGGUCCUUUAAAUCACUUAAAUUUCGGGCAUGUUCCCCCAAGCGUUCAUUAAUGCAGCGGCCGGUUUGGCCGACCUAAACCUUUCCACACUUCAAGAGAAUGACGUAGACCAUACCUGUGGAACACUUUACGAAUGGCUUGUCAUGUUUUAACUGAUAACCUCUGUUUAUUUAGAGUUGCAAAUGCGUGGGCAUAACUGUGCCAGCUUGUUGGGUACCGAAAAAACAAUGGACACCUCUAUCCUGUUGGCGAUCUUCUUGAGAUUGUGCGAACUCUUGUGCAGAAGCACCUGGGAAGGCACUGUGUUCCGAAGGCGCGCAUAGAGGAAGUCGUGCAACAGAUGUGCGACUCGGGCCCCUACCACCUGACCGCCAACAAUUGCCAAAAGUGGGUCAAGGAGCUGCUAGGUCGGCUGGACAUACAGAUGCCCUCGGACGAGCACGACGCCCAAGCCGUGGUCGAUGGGGUCGUCCCGCCGGCCGUCGGCGCCUCGCUGAUUGGCGGCGGGAUAGCAUUCUCGUCCUGAGCCGCCGGGAGCUAGAACGCCCCUGGCCAGCAGAUCGCGGAGGUGGCUAGUGUCUCGUCGGCAUACUGCUUGGACUUUUUAAUCGGAAAGAAAAAUCACGGCAUGAAAUUAUAGGCGUACACAUAAGCUGAUGAAAUCGCUUGUCCACGGAUAUAGGCCCAAUUUUGGCGCCAUGUGGCCAUGAUACGCCGCAAGACUAAGCAAGAUCACAGAAAAAAAAAUAAAAAAAAAAGAAUCGCUGUGCAAACGUCAAUGCAAGCUGGGGUAGAUUUUAAAAAUUGGUAGAGGGAUUUAUAAUCAUACGUGUGACAUUGUACCGUGAUGAAAAAGAAAGUGAAUAUAAUUGGUAUCUGAUAAGUAUGCAGAGAAGAUAUAUUGUUUUUAAAUAUCGGUGUGCCUGCCUCGUUCUUGGAAAAAAAUUGCUUCAGGUCUGAUGUUUACUUUAGGAAUUCAGCUUUUGUCCUCAGGACAUUUUGGCUCUGUGUACGAGAAGUAGAUAUUGCUGUAUGAUUGGAGCACUGACUACGCUUCGAGGACUACUGACGUGAUAUUUUCAAAAAGUAAUUUAUUUUUCGUUAUAUGAACGUUCUGGACUUCUACACUAUUGAAAAAAUAUUGAGAAGCUUCAGAGCGCCGUAAACACCAUAUUAUUGCAGCUUUUUCUACAAAGUUUCGGUUUCGUUUCGCGGGAGGAUACUGUGCUGUGACGCCAUGACGCGAUCACGUGGGAGCAGGACAUCGCGAUGUUUUGACACUCGCUGCGUUUCGCUCGGUCGCCUCGCAUGAUGGUACUCAUGGUGAGUGCCGAUGUGGGCAGCAUAGCUACGGCCGAGCACCUGAGGACAAAACUAUACCGGAGCAAAUAUGAGUCACAGGAUGCGGCACGUGGGUCCUGCAAAAAAGAACCCGGAAAGGGAUAUUCACCCAGCAAGACCCGUAGGGAAGGCACAGCUUCCAGAAGAGUUCGGAUUCAAUAAAGAUGGAAGAAUUAACUGGUCAGCAGUCGAGAUAAGUCGUUCAGAGCAUGAUGUUUAUUAAGACGUUUAAAGUAUUGGUGGGGAAGAAGACAGGAAAGAGACUGCAUAGAUACGGAGUCAUGGCAACCGUGGUUAACUGGACAGUACAGUGACAGAAGUUUUAAAUGCGAAAAGUUAAAAUCGAGAUCAGAUAGGCAAUAGGCUACAUGGUGAGAGAUGUAGUAAAACCUGAUUAAAUGAAGCAGGCUUGGUGACUUUUUGUUCCGCCCUUUCAAAGCGGAUGCCAGUUAACAUCACCAUCAUCACUGCGAAACGUACCCAUGUGAGAGGACGUUUUCCCAAAUGAGGUACGUGUAAGGUCCCGAUAUGUUUAGGGUCAACACACAAAUGCUAAAAAUUAAAACUAAAAUGUGCGUCCACAAGUGUUUGUAAGAUACGGUGAAACACACUUCGUGCAAAGCCUACACGUGGACAUUACUAUUAGCACUGUUUCCUCGUUUGUUUAAAAGGGUAAGUACGGAGAACCAAGUUAACAAAGAUUUAUUUAUUUAUUUAUUUAUUUAUUUAUUUAUUUAUUUAUUUAUUACAAAUACCUACAGCGCCCGAGUUGAGCUUAUCAUGGGGGGGGGGGGGGGUUAAUUACAAACAUAAAGGUCAAAAAUUGAACUUCACAAAAAACAGCAUGAUAUUAGUUAUGGUAUUAAAAUACAAUCAUCGUAGUUAGAGACCCAGACAACACAUUCUAAACCUAGCACAUUUGUUGUUGCUGUUUAUGUGGGUUGUUUAUAAAGUGCUAAGGAUACCCCCCAACGAGGAUCUGUAUAAAUAUAUUUAUCGCGUGAUUUGUGAGCAUGUUGUCAUCGGUUUGCCAAUGUUUAUAAUAAUGACCUAAUAGUUGUAGUGAUUUCUGAAACGGCAACACAGUGGAGCCCUGAGAUUCUCAGGAAAUUCGUGUUCCAGUCCCGCGCUGCUGAUGCCCAUUGUAUGAAGCACGACAGCCAUUGAGCUGUGUAGUGAAGUGGUGGUAAGAAACUAUGCCGAGCGUGGUUCAGGCGGCCAACUGAAUGUUCGUAAUAUGUCGCUUAAAACAGGAAUCAGAGUGGGAUAAGGACGGAAAUGAAACUCCAAGAAACAGGCCUGUCUAAUGUUUUUUUUUCUUCUUACAUGGAGCACUUGAUAGCGAAAAUUAGGGCGGAACGUGAAUAAAAACCCUAAUUCUGACA